Molecule: ribosomal RNA, 2916 nt
Filed under: Vibrio parahaemolyticus
Lineage: Bacteria; Pseudomonadati; Pseudomonadota; Gammaproteobacteria; Vibrionales; Vibrionaceae
Description: 23S ribosomal RNA
Rfam family: Bacterial large subunit ribosomal RNA
Source: RNAcentral
GUUGUAUGGUUAAGUGACUAAGCGUACACGGUGGAUGCCUUGGCAGUCAGAGGCGAUGAAAGACGUAGUAACUUGCGAUAAGCCCAGAUUAGGUAGUAACAACCAUUUGAGUCUGGGAUUUCUGAAUGGGGAAACCCACGUGCAUAAGCACGUAUCCUUACCUGAAUACAUAGGGUAAGGAGGCGAACCGGGGGAACUGAAACAUCUAAGUACCCCGAGGAAAAGAAAUCAACCGAGAUUCCGAAAGUAGCGGCGAGCGAAAUUGGACUAGCCCUUAAGCUUUACACGCGUUAGACGAACGGUCUGGAAAGUCCGACGAUACAGGGUGAUAGUCCCGUAGUUGACGACGUGUGUUCAGUGAAAUCGAGUAGGGCGGGACACGUGAUAUCCUGUCUGAAUAUGGGGGGACCAUCCUCCAAGGCUAAAUACUACUGACUGACCGAUAGUGAACCAGUACCGUGAGGGAAAGGCGAAAAGAACCCCUGUGAGGGGAGUGAAAUAGAACCUGAAACCGUGUACGUACAAGCAGUAGGAGCAGGCUUUGUCCUGUGACUGCGUACCUUUUGUAUAAUGGGUCAGCGACUUAUAUUCAGUGGCAAGGUUAACCAUCUAGGGGAGCCGUAGGGAAACCGAGUCUUAACUGGGCGUUCAGUCUCUGGAUAUAGACCCGAAACCAGGUGAUCUAGCCAUGGGCAGGUUGAAGGUUGAGUAACAUCAACUGGAGGACCGAACCGACUAAUGUUGAAAAAUUAGCGGAUGACUUGUGGCUAGGGGUGAAAGGCCAAUCAAACCUGGAGAUAGCUGGUUCUCCCCGAAAGCUAUUUAGGUAGCGCCUCGGACGAAUACUACUGGGGGUAGAGCACUGUUAAGGCUAGGGGGUCAUCCCGACUUACCAACCCUUUGCAAACUCCGAAUACCAGUAAGUACUAUCCGGGAGACACACGGCGGGUGCUAACGUCCGUCGUGGAGAGGGAAACAACCCAGACCGCCAGCUAAGGUCCCAAAUUACUACUAAGUGGGAAACGAUGUGGGAAGGCUCAGACAGCCAGGAUGUUGGCUUAGAAGCAGCCAUCAUUUAAAGAAAGCGUAAUAGCUCACUGGUCGAGUCGGCCUGCGCGGAAGAUGUAACGGGGCUAAGUAGUAAACCGAAGCUGCGGCAAUAUACUUUUGUAUAUUGGGUAGGGGAGCGUUCUGUAAGCGGUUGAAGGUGUGUGGUAACGCAUGCUGGACGUAUCAGAAGUGCGAAUGCUGACAUGAGUAACGAUAAAGGGGGUGAAAAACCUCCUCGCCGGAAGACCAAGGGUUCCUGUCCAACGUUAAUCGGGGCAGGGUAAGUCGACCCCUAAGGCGAGGCCGAAAGGCGUAGUCGAUGGGAAACGGGUUAAUAUUCCCGUACUUCUUACAAUUGCGAUGGGGGGACGGAGAAGGCUAGGUGGGCCUGGCGACGGUUGUCCAGGUUCAAGUGCGUAGGCUUGAGAGUUAGGUAAAUCCGGCUCUCUUUAAGGCUGAGACACGACGUCGAGCACCUACGGGUGUGAAGUCAUUGAUGCCAUGCUUCCAGGAAAAGCCUCUAAGCUUCAGAUUGUAAGGAAUCGUACCCCAAACCGACACAGGUGGUCGGGUAGAGAAUACCAAGGCGCUUGAGAGAACUCGGGUGAAGGAACUAGGCAAAAUGGUACCGUAACUUCGGGAGAAGGUACGCUCUCGACGGUGAAGUCCCUUGCGGAUGGAGCUAUUGAGAGUCGCAGAUACCAGGUGGCUGCAACUGUUUAUUAAAAACACAGCACUGUGCAAAAUCGUAAGAUGACGUAUACGGUGUGACGCCUGCCCGGUGCCGGAAGGUUAAUUGAUGGGGUUAGACUUCGGUCGAAGCUCUUGAUCGAAGCCCCGGUAAACGGCGGCCGUAACUAUAACGGUCCUAAGGUAGCGAAAUUCCUUGUCGGGUAAGUUCCGACCUGCACGAAUGGCGUAAUGAUGGCCACGCUGUCUCCACCCGAGACUCAGUGAAAUUGAAAUCGCUGUGAAGAUGCAGUGUACCCGCGGCUAGACGGAAAGACCCCGUGAACCUUUACUACAGCUUGGCACUGAACAUUGACCCUACAUGUGUAGGAUAGGUGGGAGGCUUUGAAGCACGUACGCCAGUAUGUGUGGAGCCGUCCUUGAAAUACCACCCUUGUAGUGUUGAUGUUCUAACGUUGACCCCUAAUCGGGGUUGCGGACAGUGCCUGGUGGGUAGUUUGACUGGGGCGGUCUCCUCCCAAAGAGUAACGGAGGAGCACGAAGGUGGGCUAAUCACGGUUGGACAUCGUGAGGUUAGUGCAAUGGCAUAAGCCCGCUUGACUGCGAGAAUGACAAUUCGAGCAGGUGCGAAAGCAGGUCAUAGUGAUCCGGUGGUUCUGAAUGGAAGGGCCAUCGCUCAACGGAUAAAAGGUACUCCGGGGAUAACAGGCUGAUACCGCCCAAGAGUUCAUAUCGACGGCGGUGUUUGGCACCUCGAUGUCGGCUCAUCACAUCCUGGGGCUGAAGUCGGUCCCAAGGGUAUGGCUGUUCGCCAUUUAAAGUGGUACGCGAGCUGGGUUUAGAACGUCGUGAGACAGUUCGGUCCCUAUCUGCCGUGGGCGUUGGAAGAUUGAAGGGGGCUGCUCCUAGUACGAGAGGACCGGAGUGGACGAACCUCUGGUGUUCGGGUUGUGUCGCCAGACGCAUUGCCCGGUAGCUAAGUUCGGAAUCGAUAACCGCUGAAAGCAUCUAAGCGGGAAGCGAGCCCUGAGAUGAGUCUUCCCUGAUACUUUAAGUAUCCUAAAGGGUUGUCGGAGACUACGACGUUGAUAGGUCAGGUGUGUAAGUGCUGUGAGGCAUUGAGCUAACUGAUACUAAUUGCCCGUGAGGCUUAACCAUACAACACCCAAGGGGUUU